UGGUGGAGUGAUUUGUCUGGUUAAUUCCGAUAACGAACGAGACCUUAACCUGCUAAAUAGAGACGCGAACCUGUGUUCGUGCGCUCUUCUUAGAGGGACUGACUACGUUUAGUGGUCGGAAGUUUGAGGCAAUAACA
RNAcentral lists this ribosomal RNA (137 nucleotides) under uncultured eukaryote. RNAcentral describes it as "partial 18S ribosomal RNA". It matches the Rfam family "Eukaryotic small subunit ribosomal RNA", at positions 1299 to 1458 of the family's 1831-position model. The record is from RNAcentral.